AGAACAAAAGCAAACAUCGCAGGUAAAUCCAAAGAUGAUCAGAAAUAUAUGGGUGGUUAUGAUGAAACGUACAGUAUCGUCUUCUAUGAAUGCAACAUUGAGUGAAAACUGCAGCACCUCAGAGAUGAAGGCUACAUCAGCUCAGAGAGAUACAGAGUGUUCAAAGCUCUCUGACAUUAGCUCAGAGGAAAAUGUUGUUUCCUGUAUCAUUAUCACAUUUAUUUCUCAUGUACAGCU
This is a non-coding RNA of Labrus bergylta (ballan wrasse), 237 nucleotides long. NCBI's taxonomy places the organism in Eukaryota, Metazoa, Chordata, Actinopteri, Labriformes, Labridae. The record is from RefSeq and is a predicted model, not a curated record.